RNAcentral lists this ribosomal RNA (403 nucleotides) under uncultured bacterium. Its description in RNAcentral is "partial 16S ribosomal RNA". It matches the Rfam family "Bacterial small subunit ribosomal RNA", at positions 28 to 526 of the family's 1533-position model. The record is from RNAcentral.
GACGAACGCUGGCGGCGUGCCUAAUACAUGCAAGUCGAACGCAGUGGGGACGGGUGAGUAACACGUGGGUAACCUCCCAUCAAAGGGGAUAACACUUGGAAACAGGUGCUAAACCGAUACUGAUGGAUGGACCCGCGGUGGAUUAGGUAGUUGGUGAUGUAACGGCGCACCAAGGCCACGAUGCAUAGCCGACCUGCUAGGGUGGUCGGCCAAACUGGGACUGAGAAACGGCCAAGAGUCCGCCGGGAGGCAGCAGUAGGGAAACGUCGGCAAUGGACGAAAGUCUGACCGAGAAACGCGGCGGGAGGGAAGAAGGUUUUCGGAUCGUAAAACUCUGUUAAGCGGGGCGCGGUAACGAAAUAGAAAGCCACGGCUAACUACGUGCCAGCAGCCGCGGUAAUAC